This 395-nucleotide unclassified non-coding RNA is filed under the name soil metagenome. RNAcentral's name for it is "partial contains 5.8S ribosomal RNA, internal transcribed spacer 2, and large subunit ribosomal RNA". The stretch from base 1 to 122 matches the Rfam family "5.8S ribosomal RNA", at positions 35 to 154 of the family's 154-position model. The record is from RNAcentral.
GAUGAAGAACGUAGCGAAAUGCGAUACUUGGUGUGAAUUGCAGAAUCCCGUGAACCAUCGAGUCUUUGAACGCAAGUUGCGCCCGAAGCCAUCAGGUUGAGGGCACGUCUGCCUGGGCGUCACAUAUCGUUGCCCAAUGCCUAUUGCAGUGCAAUAGGAAUUUCUAGGGCGAAUGAUGGCUUCCCGUGAGCGUUGUUGCCUCGCGGUUGGUUGAAAAUCGAGUCCUUGAUAGGGUGUGCCAUGGUAGAUGGUGGUCGAGUUAGAACGAUACCGAUCAUGUGCAUGCUCCCCAAAAUAUGGCCUCUAUGACCCACACGCGUCUUUUGACGCUCAUGACGAGACCUCAGGUCAGGCGGGGCUACCCACUGAAUUUAAGCAUAUCAAUAAGCGGAGGA